UCCCUGUCCCGGGAGUCCUCAGCACCAUCUCGUCCAAGGCGAGGAGGAGGGGCUGGGCCAGCUGUGGAGGCUCGGUGCCCCCUCUCCGGGUGCCCCGUGAGCCUAGCACACACCUGCCCCCUGCCGGAGAAGGCUGGUGGGUGGCUCCUUCCUUCCCCAGGAUGCAGGAGAUGCCGGGAUGCGAGCUGAGCGAGCAGGGAGCUGCUGACACAGACGCCUCACACCUGCUGGUGGAUGCCCCUGGGUAGGGGGUCUCUGUUCUGCUGUCAGCCUCGAACGUGCCUGUGGAUGUGAGCAGGGUCGGAAGAGCAUCCCCCACCUGGCACCGAGAGUCAGCACUCCCCUGUUUCGGUCCUGGAUGAACUGUUUUACAAAGCUGGCAUUUGUGCACUCCUGCUGGGAGCCGGACCCACUUCUAGAGCCUUGCAUUCGCCCUCUCUUCCACCUUCAGACACGUCCACCAUCUGUGAUGACCCGAUGGCGUCCCCACUUCAC
Long non-coding RNA from Canis lupus familiaris (dog), 495 nucleotides. RefSeq lists it as uncharacterized. NCBI's taxonomy places the organism in Eukaryota, Metazoa, Chordata, Mammalia, Carnivora, Canidae. The transcript is spliced from 3 exons. The record is from RefSeq and is a predicted model, not a curated record.